CAAGAUGCGCCCCAACGUGUAGCUUGGUUGUUGGUUCUCAUUUCAUAAGUAGGGUGCUCCUAUCUUUAUUCCUGAACCAACGAGUGUAUCUAACGCACUCAACAAGUACUAGGGGUGGGCAGAAUUUUCCAAACCCAAUAUACUCCAUCACUAUAUCGGAUACGAAGUCGAGAAACCCGAAUUUAAUUAGAAAAAUCGGGUAUUGAGCCCUGUAUUCGAACUUCUGAAUUACCCGAAGCAAGUGCAGUUGCAUUGAUCUCCACCUCUACGUCAAAAGAAAGCUAGUAAAUUGGAUUGCUUGUUCAUUUGAUCCACCGAUUCAACUUUUU
RNAcentral lists this long non-coding RNA (329 nucleotides) under Setaria italica (foxtail millet). Its description in RNAcentral is "long non-coding RNA (SITA_LNC003974)". The record is from RNAcentral. Lineage: Eukaryota; Viridiplantae; Streptophyta; Magnoliopsida; Poales; Poaceae.